UGAUCUUCUGAAACUAAAAAUAUCCUCUAUCUGAACCCUGUUCGGCUGAGCUUGCUCACCUGUAUCUUUACUGUAGAUCACCAAUUUAAGAAAAGCAGCAAAUAGCAGAAACAGGGUAGAUUAUCUAUCAAACAAGCACGAAAACAAUUAUGAUUGAGCUCCAAUUCAACUGAUUAGCACCGAUUCGAGCUCAAAAUUCAAAGAAUUGGAAGAAACAAGGAAAACUGACCACAGUAGUGGCAUCAUGUAAAACGGAAGUGAUAGUUCAUUCCCCCUUUUCUGAAUUGGGGUUUAACAGAGAGAGACAGCGACGGCAGCGAGGGGAACUGAGGCCAGGUUGAUGGUGGGAUCGUGAUGGAGAUUCACGGUCCCUAAUUUCUGCUCGUAAACCUCCCGAGUCCCCAUCUUCCAAUACACUGUCUUCGAUAUUAACAUUCUUUCCAGUAACCUUCAAUGCCUGUUAAAUAAGCAUACGCAGAUUUCAAUGGAAAACAGAUGAAACAACCGAGAAAAAAGAGAUUUAAAUGGAA
RNAcentral lists this unclassified non-coding RNA (530 nucleotides) under Hevea brasiliensis (rubber tree). Lineage: Eukaryota; Viridiplantae; Streptophyta; Magnoliopsida; Malpighiales; Euphorbiaceae. The record is from RNAcentral.